This 46-nucleotide non-coding RNA is filed under the name Trichobilharzia regenti. Lineage: Eukaryota; Metazoa; Platyhelminthes; Trematoda; Strigeidida; Schistosomatidae. The record is from RNAcentral.
GUACUGAUGAAGAGUUUGAAACUAGGACGAAACAGCUGUCCAGUAC